This 279-nucleotide ribosomal RNA is filed under the name uncultured bacterium. RNAcentral describes it as "partial 16S ribosomal RNA". It matches the Rfam family "Bacterial small subunit ribosomal RNA", at positions 506 to 784 of the family's 1533-position model. The record is from RNAcentral.
UGCCAGCAGCCGCGGUAAUACGGAGGGUCCAAGCGUUAUCCGGAUUUAUUGGGCUUAAAGAGUUCGUAGGCGGCUAUGUAGGUCAGAUGUGAAAUCCCACGGCUCAACCGUGGAACUGCGUUUGAAACCACAUAGCUUGAGGGAGAUAGAGGUGAGCGGAACAGAUGGUGGAGCGGUGAAAUGCGUUGAUAUCAUCUGGAACACCGGUGGCGAAAGCGGCUCACUGGAUCUCUUCUGACGCUGAGGAACGAAAGCUAGGGUAGCGAACGGGAUUAGAUA